This 545-nucleotide ribosomal RNA is filed under the name uncultured bacterium. RNAcentral describes it as "partial 16S ribosomal RNA". It matches the Rfam family "Bacterial small subunit ribosomal RNA", at positions 355 to 907 of the family's 1533-position model. The record is from RNAcentral.
UGGGGAAUAUUGCACAAUGGGCGAAAGCCUGAUGCAGCAACGCCGCGUGAGGGACGACGGCCUUCGGGUUGUAACCUCUUUUAGCAAGGAAGAAGCGAAAGUGACGGUACUUGCAGAAAAAGCGCCGGCUAACUACGUGCCAGCAGCCGCGGUAAUACGUAGGGCGCAAGCGUUAUCCGGAAUUAUUGGGCGUAAAGAGCUCGUAGGCGGUUUGUCGCGUCUGCUGUGAAAACCCGAGGCUCAACCUCGGGCCUGCAGUGGGUACGGGCAGACUAGAGUGCGGUAGGGGGAGAUUGGAACUCCUGGUGUAGCGGUGGAAUGCGCAGAUAUCAGGAAGAACACCGAUGGCGAAGGCAGAUCUCUGGGCCGUAACUGACGCUGAGGAGCGAAAGGGUGGGGAGCAAAACAGGCUUAGAUACCCUGGUAGUCCACCCCGUAAACGUUGGGAACUAAGUUGUGGGGUCCAUUCCACGGAUUCCGUGACGCAGCUAACGCAUUAAGUUCCCCGCCUGGGGAGUACGGCCGCAAGGCUAAAAACUUAAAUG